Molecule: long non-coding RNA, 11313 nt
Filed under: Xyrichtys novacula (pearly razorfish)
Lineage: Eukaryota; Metazoa; Chordata; Actinopteri; Labriformes; Labridae
Source: RNAcentral
UUCUUUUAGGAAAGGAUUCAGAGGUUUGAGAAAUGUUGAUGUGAGCAGCCGCUGAACCCAAAAGAAUAAUAAAACCAGUUGGUGUUUUUCCCCUGAAGAGAUCUCCCCAAACUUAAGUCCUUAGGUGCAAAAUAUGAGAGCGCAAAAGCUAAUGAACAUUAAAAGACUACGGAUGCACUCACUAAACAGCGUUCUUGUGUCAAUUUCUGUUUCUAUUUCCACAAAUAUCACUUUGCUGGGCUUUAGGGUGUAAAUAUCUAAAAUCUGCUUUUAGCCAAAUACAGAGGAAAAAAGUGACACAUAUAGAAAGCAUUAAAGAUUCAUGCAGUGGAGAGAUCCAGAUGAAUUUCAGAUGAGUUUUCAGUCCUUCAACUGCAGAUUUCGUGAUGAAUUCAGCAAAACCAGAAACAGUACUUUAAAACUUUGUGACUUAGAUGUUCAUGGACAGCUCUCGCUCCUGGCUAGUUAAGCCUGCAACACUUGCAGAGUCACAUCUUUGUACCUGGAGACUGUACUGUACUUUUAAAGUUUUCCCUAUAUGUUUGAAUUUUCCAACUAUCUGUAAAGAAGGGAGCGGACUCUUUCUAGGACUUGCUCCGCUUUACCUUCAUUGUCUCCCAAAGAGGUGAGACAAGCGUAUUCUUAAGUGAAGUAGUUGGUUGAAGGUGGCAGUCAAUCCCUCAGGAGGUUUUCUUUCCCACUCCUCUAUUAAUGUGUGUAGCAGCAGUCCAGAGCUCAUGUGGCAGACCUCUCUGUUGCCUGUGUUUUGUGUUAUUAGUUGGCGUUGUAUCAGUGUCAUUUCAGCUCCCUCUUCUGUUCAUUUGCAUGUCCUUUAACUGUUAAAGUUAGAAAUAUUUCAGCAUUUGUCAGGGCAGUUGAUGCCAGAAAAACUACAAAUAUAUAAACUAUUCUUCAAAUUAUACAGCAACUGAUGCCAGAAACAUGCAGUCAAGGAAGAGUGGACGAGUUUAAGACUCCAAAUCAAAUCACACAAACAACAUGCUUAUCUUGUGAAACACACCAGGGUGUAAAUUUGGUCUGUCCUGAAUUGUGAGCACAAAUUGGAAAAUCUUCUGUGACUGCACUGGAUCAGAAGUAGAGACAGAACUUUUGCAAAGACAAUGAUUAAAUACAGCGUGGUUCAAUACUGGCUCUUGUUUCAAAAAUUAAUUGUGAUUUUCUUUUGUUGCAAAUACAGACUUGUUUCUGCUGUGUCCAUUGACUAUGGUGAUGUUUUAUUCAUUCAUGCAUCUUUUUAAUCUCUCUUUAAAUUCUGCUCACCAUGGGGGACUUAAGUUCAUCAUAAAUCCUGAAGCCCUAACUCAUCCUCUGUGUGCUCUUGCAGGCUGAACUGCUUUGCCCACCUGUGGACUAAAUCACCAGCAUCUCCUUAAUUAUAAGGGCAUCCUAAAUUUUCUUACCCAUAAUGUAUGUAUUAUAAUUCAUCUGGAAUAAACCUGUGAAGCCCUAAAGACUCAUUUUUGCCAUGUGUGUCUAACAGUGUGUCCUGACAGAGGGCUAAAGGAGUUCUUGGUAUGCUGCUGCAGUUUAGGAUCCAGUUGAGUUACACUUUAUUUUUUUUAAAUCACAUUAAAGGUACUGAAAACAAUUAAUCAAUCAAUCAGAAUACUUUAAUUGUCCCAGCACAGGUCAGAAUUUAAAAUACAAUAAUACUGUGUGUUGUGUAAAUUACAACAGAGUAUAAGGGCCACAUAAAAAAUAAAUAAAUAAAUAAGACUUACAGAUUACAGCCAUUAAUUUACGAGAAUAAAGUCAUUACUCCCGAGAAUAAAGUCAUAAUAAAAGCUUUACUUAUGAGAAUAAAGUCAUAAUGAAAUCAUUACGAUACUUAUGAUAAUUUGGUGCUGAUGUGCCAAAAGAUUAAUCAUCUCAUUGUUUAGGAAACCUAUAUUAAAGUACAUUUUCACGAAUUGCUCCAUGGCUCUCAUUUCAACAACUGUCAUCUUUAACAACAGGUUAGAAUAUAAGGACUUUAUUCUGUUUUUAUUCUCAUAAGUAAUUACUUUAUUACGACUUUAUUCUUGUAAGUAAUGACUUUUUUCUCCAAGUCUUAUUUUUUUCUUAAUGUGGCCCUAAAUAAACUGUCUUUAGCCAAGAAAUCAGCAUUCUCACAUCGGUUAACCCCGACUUCUUGCAGAAAUAUGCACUAGGCUAGCAGUUUGCAUUCAAGUGCGCAACUCAUCCUAAAAUUUUCGGCCGUUUUCAAGAGUUUGGUUCAUGUGUGAAUACGUAAUGUAACAUCAUUUAGCACCUUAUUGUUCUUACUGCUGUGAGAAUAAACUUCUUCCAAACCCUUCCUGCUUUCUGUUUAGACAAAUGCAUAAGUUUGUUUUUGUUGUCACUCAUUUCUUCGUUUCAUUCCCUGAUAUGUGUGUUUAAGGACUGAUGAUUUAUCUACUCAAGCCUUCAGUUGUGUGAGUGCUUUCUGUUUUUAUCCCUGAGAGAAACUCAAGCACCAAGGAGACGAGGGAGUGAAGUUAAAAGAGAGAAGAAGAUGCAUGCAGGAUAUUUACUUUGAUGUCUUAAGCUCAGUAAACAAUGCUUAAGCUUUCCCUAAAAGUCAAGAUAUUUCAGUAGGAAUUAUGUGAUUUACACACAAAUACCACCCACUAACACACACACUCCUGUGGGCAUCAAAAUGUAAGAUUACCAUUUCUCCCUGAAACCUGUAAAGGUGCAUUACAAACAUGUACGGCUGUUUGUAGCAGCACUCUUAUCCUCCAUCCAUCUCUCCCCCUCUCUCACUUCUUCUUCCCCUAUCUCUGCCUCUAUCUCCUCUCCUCCCUGUGCGCUCUUUCCCCGUUCUCUCUUUUCAUCUCUGUCACUGUCCCCCAGCUGGCUAGGUGAGAUAACGCCUCCACACCGGGAUACUCGUAGCUCAUUGGCUGGAAGAUGAAGGAAAGGGCGCCAAUCACAGGCAGCAUCAUUAGUUGAGGCGAUCCUGAGCUGAGGCUGUGCCUUUAUCUGCUCUAACGGAUCCUGAAACGUCCUCACCCAUCUUCUCCAUUCCCCUAAACUCCGAAGCACACUCCAGUCUAAUGUCUGUGCACAUUAGCUCCAUUUUGUUGAACACCUCAUUCUCCUUUGGACGCAGAGCAAUUUAGAUUUUUGAGGAGAUAACUAACUUUCACAACAACCAAAAAGUGGAAAAAAGUAUUUUAUUGGCCUCUGUUUAUCUCAGUUCUUUUAUUCUGUUGGUUUAAAGCUGAUUAGAGUCCCUGGCAGGCUUUUAUUUUUGUGAACACAUUCACUGCCAGCACUUGUGCUUAGCUUCAACAAACUUUGUUCAGGAAAUAACUUGUAAGAGUGAAAAAAGUGUGAAAAUAUUUGUGUGUGUGUUGACUCUUUUUACUCAUGGUGAGUGUGAAUCUGUAAAGCAGAUAUUUGACAGCUCUGUGGGCCACCAUUGGGCUAAAUACAAAAGUUAGUGUGUAGUUUGUUUUUGUUUUAAUAACUUUCUCUUGUCAUUAUGUCAAAAUUAUGCAUUCAAAACAAACUGUAAUAUACUAUGAAGUUAAAACAUACUGCUGAGUAUUCGUGCAACAUGGCCUAAGUGGGCGGAUGUCCUGGCCACCUCUGAUAUGUCUUGAGUGUUAGCUUGAAGGCUAAAAUCCCGCCCAAGCUACUUCUCUUUGCCGACACAGUCAUCAAAAAAAAAAUAUGAGUUGGCAUAUCCAUCAGGGGAUCAAACCAAUGGAUGAUGUCCCCGAGACUACAAGAUUUUACAAGCCUAGCCAUGCAAAACCAACGCCAACUAACCAACUUAUUAAGUACACCUGUAUAAUUGCUCGUUACAAAUAGCUGAUCAGCUAAUCACAUGGCAGCAACUCAGUGCAUUUAGGUAUGUAGAUGUGGUCAACAAAACUUACUGAGGUUCAAACCGAGCAUCAGAAUGAGGACAAAGGGGGAUUUAAGUGACUUUGAAUGCAGCAUGGUUGAUGGUGCCAGGCGAGCUGGUCUGCGUAUUUCAGUAACUGCUGAUCUACCUGGAUUUUCAGCUGCAACAUUUAAACAUUUUGGUGGGUCAGUUUAUCGUAAACAACAUGAAGGCAUGGAUCCACCCUGUCUUGUGUCAAUAGUGCAGGAUGGUGGUGGUGGUCUAAUGGUGUGGGGAAUAUUUUCUUGGCACACUUUGGGUCCCUUAGUACCAACUGAACCUUGUUUAAACACCACAGCCUACCUGGGUAUUGUUGCUGACCAUGUCCAUUUAUGACCACAGUGUACCCAUCUCAUGAUGGCUACCUCCAGCAGGAUCAUGCACGAUGUCACUAAGCUCAAAUCAUCUUAAACUGGUUUCAUUGAGUUCACUGUACUCCAGUGGCCUCCACAGUCUCCAAAUCUCAAUCCAACAGAGCACCUUUGGGAUGUAGUGGAACAAGAGAUUCACAUCAUGGAUGUGCAGCCGCCCAAUCUGCAACACCUGCGUGAUGCUAUUAUGUUAAUAUGGACAAAAAUCUCGGAGCAAUGUUUCCAACACCUUGUUGAAAGUAUUCAGGCAGUUCUGAAGACAAAAGGGGGUCCAAAGGGGUGUAUCUAAUAAAGUGGCUUGGGAGUAUAUAUGAUCUACUGUGAAAAUUGGCAAUACACUAUAAACACUGAUACAGUUUCUGUGGCUAUUAGAGCCAGCCUCAAGUGGUCACUCUAAAACCUCAGUUUUGCCGGUUGCUGGUGGGUGUGUGUCGAUUCCUGUUAACAUAAGUCUGAGAAAGAAGCAGUUUUCCAAGCUUCAAAUAGCACUUCUACCACUGACUGACACAUGGACCAGACCACAAAAAUAACAGCAUAAUGGGAAAAAAAUUGAGGGUGGUUGUUUUUUUGGUAAAUAAUCAAGAUACUUUGAGUCUGCAGCCAUGGCAGCAGCUCUGCGACACACAGUGGUGGGUUGAAGUGAAUGCUAUUUUAACAUGGAGUCAUUUUAGACUUGUUGAAACCAGAGUGCAGCAGAGCCUGAUGAAAAUGCUGUUAGCUUUUUAUCUACUUUUAAAGCUUAAAAUCCAAAGGUGCUACUCUAGGAGAAGUAGAAGACCCACCAAAAAUGUUGAAGUUCAUCUUAACGAGGAAGUGAAUAUCUGCAAGUGCCACAGGCCAAUGCUACCAUCCACAGUCAUGCUGCUCAUUUGGUUAAAAACUGGUUUGUCUGCUGAACUUGCUCUGGAGAAAAACAAAUAUAACAACAACAUUGAAUUGCAGAAUGAAUUCUUCCUUCACUGAGCUGUUACUUAAAAUAAAUGCAGACCAGUAAAACAAAUCAACACAAACUGAACUGUUAAUUAAUGAUAUCACAGUCGAUGAUGCGCGCUGCAUUUUUAUCAGCCACACUCGAUACAGUGAAAUCUGCUCGACUUGAGUCUUCACUGCUGCAUCUGAAUCUCUUUCUGUUUUUGAGCUUCACGCUAACCUGACCCGCUGAGCUAAUUGGCCUGCAGCUCUACCCCUUUAUUAACGCACAGAAACUAUGUUGGAAAGUGUGCAAAGAGUGUUUUAAUCACAUUAGUGACAUUAGGACUCAAGCUGUUCCAGGCUGGUGUGCUAAGGGUUGAGUGCACCCUGGUGGACUCUUGCAGACUGUUUAUCUCAGUGCAGCUCAAAGAGGAGAAUUGUAACAAGUCCUGUGCUGCCAUCAUGUGUCUCCACAGUAUGUUAACACUGACAAAUGUUCCUUAUAUGCAUUUAUAUCUUUCAUAUUUUUAAAUACAACAGAAUAAGAUGAGUGAGCUUAAAGGAUUAAAUAUUAUAGGACAUCUUGUACUGACUCUGCUGCCGUGUUGCCAGUCAUCUGGGAAAAUGACAUUGACAAAAUCCCUGAAAAGGUUUACAUGUCUAUAAGCGUCCACCAACAGGCGUUAUCUGACAGGCCAUUUGGCUGCUUGAAUCUGACCUUUGUCAGAGUGCAUCACUUCUCCAAGCUUCAACUAUGAAAACAUUUCAAACAGAAAGGUUAAUAGGAGAGCUGACACAAAUUUAUAGAAGGUCAAGGAUCUUUCUCUCACACUCAGAAUAUCACAAAGAAAAAACAACUCAAUAGAGACAUCGUCCCAAGAGGCUGGUUCAGUGAGGGAUUUGAAGAGUAUGGAAAAAUAAUUAGCUCCAUCGGGCCUUCACAGAGUUAUGUCUGGAUUAUUAAGUGUUGUGUGGUCAUGAGCAUGAGUCUGUUAAUGUGAAAGUGAAACAAGAAAGCGUGUUACAAAGUUUUGUUUACAGACUUCCGCCAGCAGGUGGUACUGCCGCCUCUGUUCAGAGCACUCAGAAAUCUUCAUGACCACACUGUAAUCCAGAAAAGCCCAAAGUCACGCAGUAAUCUGAUGUCACACAUUAACACAGAGUUUACCAGAACCUUGAACGGGCUCACUGUGUCAUUUCAAAAGUUGAGGUCAUGUUGAGUCAUCAUCACUCUGCUAUUCUGAGAUGAGUGCUCAGAUAAAUGCCCUCCCCGGCUGCACUGGCAGCCUGUAACUAGACCUUAGAGAGAUUAAAGAGGGAAGACCAGCAGGUUUCAUGAUGUCAGCAGAGGGCCGUGAGCUCUGCACACAUCAUGGUUUUAUUAAAACCUGAUGUAAUCAAGAGUAGCUUGAUCAAUGACAAACUAAAGGAUGAGACUAUGUUAAAUCCCAGCACAAGGAUAUACCAGGCGCAGAAUAGCAGCUUUGAUGUCAACCAAAAGUGGCAAGAGCGUGUAGUAAAAUAUUAUGUGUUACAGGUUAAUGAUGAUGUCUCUAAAAUAUGUCAUCUCAGAUUAUUUUAUUGAUUCAUUAAUAUAUUUUUCUGACAUAAACAAUUCCAAAAAGGCAGAACAUUUUUAUCUCAAACUCUUUUGGUGACUCUUUAAAUUCCUUUGAGUUCUGACAACAAAAACAAAAAAAGGUGUACUGGUUAAUUUGUAUCUUAAAAGUUUCAGCUAAAUUUAUCCAUGAUCAGCCAUGUCUCUAAAUAUCCAUUGUUUUUGUUUUAUCAUUGUUUGUGCUUAGUGGUUUCUUAUGCUGAGCACUGAAUAUUCAUUCAAAAUGUCCUCUUAAAUGUGAGCAUGUGAACACGUGGCCUUAACUGCUCUGCUAUGUGCACUGGUUAGUUCUAUAAAAACAGUUCUCUGUAAAAAUAAACUCAAGUAUAAAUAAGGUUCUCUACUUCCUCUGCUCUAAUUAUAGGCCAUUUUUUCACACAUUGUUAGCUAAUGCAGCAGCAGCAGACUUUACCAUGUUCUGCAAAGUGAAUUACAGUUUUUGCUUCUGGAGUCGGGUGAGAUACAAUUUAUUGCUGUUCAAGAAAUAAAAAGCUUCCCUUGUGAUGUGUUUUUUCACUGAAAUGUAGUCAGUUAGAUAUUUGGACUUACAGUCAGAUCAUGAGUGGACACACUUUGAUUAGGUGCACAAUGUCCCUUGAGGAUUACAUAUUGCAUAACAGUCCACAUUAUGGCUGUUCUGGCUGAACAACUGACUGUACUUGAUAGUCAUUUAUACCAACAAAUACUUCAGAACUGGGAUCUAGCUUUCAAAAUUAAAAGUGUCCUUUUUUUAGAAUGAUUGGAUAGGAGUUGUCCCAUCUGCUUCGAAGCUUUGAGAAAUCUCAACUUUGGUACAAUUUUAGCAAAUAAUGACUAUUACAAAAAUACAGAAGAAUGUUCACAAAACAUAAAAUUUCCCAGUGUCUUUUGCUUCGUUUUGUUUUAAACUGUUUUUACUACUUAAUUUCUUACCUCCUCACAUGAUCUCAUGCCUCUGAGUUUCACUUUAUGUGUUGUUGUGUUGUGCUGUCGAAUCAGCAUGUCUCUUGAGGUUGAUCUGUUGCUUUGGGUAUAUAGCUGCUGGAUAUUUAUUUUGCUUUUGUUUAUUUCUAUGUAGGUUUGGGUGUUGGGUCCUGGCUUUGUUUGAAUAUUUACUUAUACACUAUGUAAACCAAUGUUUUUAAAGGUGCUAUCUAUGCAUACAUUAUAAUUUCAAAAUUAUCAUCAGUCAAGUCAAGCCAAGAUUUAUAUAGCAGUGCAUUAAGCAGCUUUUCAAGGUCAAAGUACAAAAAGAAAACAACAGUAAUUAUCACACCCUAUUUAUAAAAGUAGUUGUAUGUGCCAGGAUACAGUUCUCAUCUGGAAGGGGAACCAAGAGAGAAAAAAUCGGGGUCUGGUUUUGAAGUGGGCAUAUCCAGGAGCAGCUGAUUGGUUGACCUCAAUGUUCUAGCUGGACCAUGAUCAAGAAAAAUUUCAAGUAAAUUGAUGCCAAUCCAUUCGGGGCCUCAAAGUCAACAACAAAUGUUUUAGAGAGCAGCACAGGUGUGGUGCAGUCUCACUUUCACUCUCUGAUUGAGCAGCAGCCUGUUGAGCGAGCUGCAAACACUGAAUAAAUAUCUGCUCUGAAUAAAGAGAACUACAACAGUAGAGAUUAGGCAUUAAAAAAGCAUGUAUCACCCUUUCUAAAUCUUCAGACAUCUACUUAAUCUAUCAGCCUGGACUGAAAAAUUACAGUGCAUUAUGAUUGACAACAAUGAUUUCAUGCUUUUCUGCUCUACUUUGUUUCUCUCUAUGUGUGUAGAAAGGCCCAUCUUGGGAUGGGCACUGCAGACCUUCUUAGGCUAUUAUAGCUGUGGUAUGCAGCACCAGUCCAACCCUUAUACUGGUGUCUGUAAAAAUAAACAUGACAUAAAAAAUACUGAAAUGAAAACACGGACCUAUAAAAAGAAGCAAGUCGUUAAAUGACUAUGCAUUACAGACACUUUGACACCUUCUGAGCGUGUAACGAGGAAAGGAGAGUCUCCCAGUACCAGUUUUCUUUUUAGAACACUUGUAUUAUACAUACGACAGAAGGCAAAAUCCUCUUUCUACCACUUCAUGCAUUGUGAUUCUGACAUACUCAGCGAAAAAGCUGAAUAAUACAGUAUUACACACAGGAUCAAUCUCAUACCAGCUUAGCAGUACAGCUGCUUCCUAUGAGUGGCUGGUUUCCUCCAGCCUUUUCCCUGGUGAGCAUUAAUAUUGAUGCCGAGAAGGGAGGCUGACCAAGCUCUCAGUCACUCACUCUCUCUCUCUUCCAUCUCUCUCUCUCUCUCCCCCCUCCCUCCCUCUUAUACCCACACCCUGGAUGCAGGCAGGCGUGCACACACCGGCAGAUUGACUCAGCUUCCGUGUCGCUCUCCCAGCUCCAUCUCUGAGUCUCCAUCCCUCCCUGCUCUCUCCUCUGGUGGAUUCUAGCCCACUGCUUUGUGGAAAACCGGUAAGAACAAAUCCUCUCUUUCACUGGCGUGUUUUUGAUUUCUUUCAGCCCUUGUGUUUCUUUCUGAUCUAAUUUCGCUGGAGUCUGACAAAGGAUUGGGGUGUGGCUGAGGAAAAAGGAGCCUGCUGCUGAUGGAAGCUUUGAAAUGAUGUGAAAACAGAAGGCUAUGGAUGAUGGUAAUGGUAAUACAGGAACAAUGGAGCACAUGCUUGAGAAUACAGUUGACGUUAUCGUUGUAAAUGUUAUUAAGACUUGGCAGGGCUGGAUUUGGACACCUUGGUAGCUUAUGAGAAAUGAUCCAUUGCACCUCAUUUCAAGGAUCUGCAUACUUAAAAUUCUGGCCAUGUGCCUGGCUUAACUACGUCUGUGUCGCACUGAAUCUUUUAGGCCCUAUUUAUGUUCUGACGAGUCAGAUUAGUUAAUUUUACAGCUCCUUGGUGUGCAGAUGACUGGCUACAGACUGGUGGGCUUGUCACAUUUUCACAGCAGCCCCUUCCAGAGCAGUGGCUCAAAGAGGCAUGACUGGGCCCGACUGUGCAAGACAGAUUAGUCAGACCUGAGGCUAGGUCAGGAAUAUGACUGCAGUGGAGCCUGUGGCGGAGCACUGCCCAGAUCCAGCAGGCUGCAGGGGUGGAUGCAGAGAGAGAAAGAGGGAGAGAGAGGGAGAGGAUGCAGAGGGAGAGAACAAAGAACUCAGCCUAGGAAGGAGAGAAAAUGUAGAGACAAAGAAGAUCAGGCAGAUGGGUAAAAAUAGGCACAUGUUAGCUACAUAGGCAUUUUGGUGGGAAGAAAAUCAAGGCAGAGCAUGAGUGGGAGGUGGCCACCACGCACAGGCGUGAAUGUGAAUGUGUCUGCACAUAAAGGGAGUGGCUACAACAUGUGCUGCUUGGAUGGAUACAAAGACAGAGAAAUCAUUUUUAAUUUUAUACAAAAAGACGAAAAAGGAGUCUUUAUUAUGACUAUUCCAAAAAGGCCAUUGUACUGUAGAAUACACUUUUAGAAAUAUUUAUGAAGGAUCUUAUAUCUCAUUCUAUAUUUCACUGUCUAAUCUCUGCCAUGGCUGACAGGAAAGGUCAAACCUCUGUGCUGAGGUUUUUUAUUUUCUUUUGCAGCCAAAAUGUCUGACAAGCCUGACAUGACUGAAAUCGCUCGCUUCGACAAGACAAAGCUGAAGAAGACAGAGACAAAAGAAAAAAACCCUUUGCCCACCAAAGAGAGUGAGUGUCCCUCAUGUCUACAGCAUGUGUACAUGUGUGUGUAUGUAUGUGUGUGUGUUUCUAGGCAGAAUUAGAGCCUCAAUUCCCUGCAACAAUUUUCCUGUCAGUAGCUACUCAUCACCUCCAGUGCUGUCAGAGGAAUACAUGCUCAGCAAGCAGAGCAGCAAAAAGCAAAUAGCUGCAACAUCAGCAAAUCAUUGAUAUUCAGGACAAAAAAAACAAAAGCACCAUUUCUCUGCUGCGUUGCCCAACAACAAAUUCAAGCCUGCUGACCCAUAAUCUCUUUUCUUUUUUCAGCAAUUGAGCAAGAGAGAAAAGGCGACGCCACACCUUGACUUCAGAGCACAUGAAGAAAAGAAGCUGAGAUGCGACAGCAAAAAAAGCACUUUCUUUUGAUUAUCACAGUAUUUCAAUCUCUUGCGUUGUCUUCAGAAUAAGGGUGCUCUUAAGCUCCCUGGGGUGCUGUAAGGGGUAUAUGGCAUCUUCACAUGGGGGCUCUCUUACCACUAUAGGGUGAAAAAAAAACUUUAGUCUGGGUGCCUAUCUAGCACUGUUAGCUUUGAGCUAGCAUAUCUCAAAUGUUGCCAAACUGGGGAGUGGUGUGGAGGUGGUGUAGCACAGAUAGAUGGGCAGGCACCCAGGCUAGGGGGAGGUGGGGUGGUGUGGGGGGUGAGGACAGGGGAGCAUUCUGAGUCUAAUCAUGUGGGAUGUUUUCUUAAAAAAACUUUUUACUUUUCUUUAUGAAAUAAAUAUGAAGACAUUCAACCAGAUUUUCCUGCAUAGUCCUCUUUCUUUUGUGACUGUAUUAAAGUGAUACACGCGCCAACAGGGCGAGGACCGAUUAUACAAAGCCAGGGAAUUAAAAAUCAAUCAAAUGA